RNAcentral lists this unclassified non-coding RNA (200 nucleotides) under Trechispora sp. RNAcentral describes it as "partial internal transcribed spacer 2". The record is from RNAcentral. Lineage: Eukaryota; Fungi; Basidiomycota; Agaricomycetes; Trechisporales; Hydnodontaceae.
UUAAGUUCAGCGGGUAGUCCUACCCGAUUUGAGGUCAGAAGAAGAACGGUAGAAAACCGUCAAAGUCGACCGCCACUCCAGAGGCAAGGUCAAGGCCGAGCGCGCAAGGGGAAAGCCGAUGGCCAGCAAGCGAGGUAGAUACAACGCCAGAGGCACGCAGGCGAUCCCAAGCCCAACCGAUGCAUUUAAGGGGAGCCGCG